This 74-nucleotide transfer RNA is filed under the name Planctomycetales bacterium. RNAcentral's name for it is "tRNA-Gln". It matches the Rfam family "tRNA". Rfam says of the family: Transfer RNA (tRNA) molecules are approximately 80 nucleotides in length. Their secondary structure includes four short double-helical elements and three loops (D, anti-codon, and T loops). The record is from RNAcentral. Lineage: Bacteria; Pseudomonadati; Planctomycetota; Planctomycetia; Planctomycetales.
UGCCCCUUAGUCUAAUGGUAGGAUAAGCGACUCUGACUCGCUGUGUGGGGGUUCGAAUCCCUCAGGGGCAACCA